GAUUGCCUGGCUCUGUGUGUCCUUUUUGUGUAUGAUUGUGACUGUAUAAAGGUGUGUAGGUGGUUGUCUUAAGAAUCAAUGUAUGCCUGGGCAUGGUGGUGCACAUGCAAUCCCAGCGGCUCCGGUGGCUGAGUUAGGAGGAUCACGAUUUCAAACCCAGCCUCAGCAACAACGAGACACUAAGCAACUCAGUGAGACCCUGUCUCUAAAUAAAAUUAAAAAAUGGGGAUGUGGCUCAGUGGUCCAGUGCCUCUGAAUUCAAUCCCUGGGACCUCCCCACACACACACACACAAAAUGAAUGCAUGGCUGGUUGUGGCACAGGACUGUAAUCCCAGUCACUCCAGAGGCUGAGGCAGGAGGAUCACAAGUUUAAAGCCAGCCUCAGCAAUUUAGCGAGACUCUUUUUGCAAAUAAAAUGAUUAAGUGCCCCUGGGUUCAAUCCCUGGUACCAAAAAAAAAAAAAAAGUGAAUGUGUGAUGUAUGGUUGGGUUGGUGGGACACACCUGUAAUCCCAGUGGCUUGGGAGCCUAAUGCAGGAGAAUGGCAAAUUCAAUGGAAGCCUCAGCAACUAAGGGAUGCCCUAAGCAACUUAGGGAAAACUUGUCUCAAAAAAGGGGGAGGUGGGGCUGGAGAUACAGCUCAGUGAUAAAGCAACUCUGGGUCCAAUCUCCGGUAUUGCAAAACAGAAAAAGAGUAGAUAUGUGGUUAUGCUCUGAC
RNAcentral lists this long non-coding RNA (718 nucleotides) under Marmota monax (woodchuck). The record is from RNAcentral. Lineage: Eukaryota; Metazoa; Chordata; Mammalia; Rodentia; Sciuridae.